UGGGGAAUUUUGGACAAUGGGCGAAAGCCUGAUCCAGCAAUGCCGCGUGUGUGAAGAAGGCCUUCGGGUUGUAAAGCACUUUUGUCCGGAAAGAAAUCCUUGGCUCUAAUACAGUCGGGGGAUGACGGUACCGGAAGAAUAAGCACCGGCUAACUACGUGCCAGCAGCCGCGGUAAUACGUAGGGUGCAAGCGUUAAUCGGAAUUACUGGGCGUAAAGCGUGCGCAGGCGGUUUGCUAAGACCGAUGUGAAAUCCCCGGGCUCAACCUGGGAACUGCAUUGGUGACUGGCAGGCUAGAGUAUGGCAGAGGGGGGUAGAAUUCCACGUGUAGCGGUGAAAUGCGUAGAGAUGUGGAGGAAUACCGAUGGCGAAGGCAGCCCCCUGGGCCAAUACUGACGCUCAUGCACGAAAGCGUGGGGAGCAAACAGGAUUAGAUACCCUGGUAGUCCACGCCCUAAAACGAUGUCAACUAGUUGUUGGGGAUUCAUUUCCUUAGUAACGUAGCUAACGCGUGAAGUUGACCGCCUGGGGAGUACGGUCGCAAGAUUAAAACUCAAAUGAAUUGACGGGGUCAUAGCUGUUUCCU
Molecule: ribosomal RNA, 586 nt
Filed under: uncultured bacterium
Lineage: Bacteria
Description: partial 16S ribosomal RNA
Rfam family: Bacterial small subunit ribosomal RNA
Source: RNAcentral